GAAAACAGACAAGGAAGCCUUCAUUCUAUUAGAAGACAGACAAUGAAGGAGUAAAUAACUAAAACAGCCAAUGGUCAGAGUCUGGAUAAUACUGUAUUUUGAGUUUGGAGCUUAUUCAAUUUUCUGAAGGAUUGGAUGAAAAGUAUGAUAGGAAAUGAGGAAUCCAGGAUGACCGUAUGAAUGUCUACGAAGUCCAUGGCAAAAUAACUGGAGCUUACGUAACAUUAACUUGGCUGGCUGAUGGCACUCGCACCCCCACGCCUAUUGCAAACCAGGUGGACCAAGCAGUAGCAAUGUCUGCCACUACUUGGGGGGAGGGGGGGAUGGCCACACCUGCGGGAUGCCUACAGCACAAGUUUUACACGGAAACAAAAGUCUUUUAUUUGGGAAUGAGGUUGGAGUUUUGUUCAUUUGUUUGUUCUGGAGAGCCACAUACUGGUGGAGAAAAGGCAGCCUGCUCAGAGACAAGGCUAGAGAUUUCAAUCUAGAGGUGGGCACUUCUUUCUGAAGCCUUUACACUUCUCUUCCACUACCUUCUGAGAUAGAACACCAGCCCACCACUUUCUACCUUCUUCUAAAUACUCCAUCUGCCAGGCCUUGACUUCAUUUUUUGAAAAGUGGCUACAAAUAAAUGCUGCUUGCUUGCACCACUA
Canis lupus familiaris (dog) is the source of this 653-nucleotide long non-coding RNA. RefSeq lists it as uncharacterized. The record is from RefSeq and is a predicted model, not a curated record. Lineage: Eukaryota; Metazoa; Chordata; Mammalia; Carnivora; Canidae. The transcript is spliced from 2 exons.